Molecule: unclassified non-coding RNA, 504 nt
Filed under: Hevea brasiliensis (rubber tree)
Lineage: Eukaryota; Viridiplantae; Streptophyta; Magnoliopsida; Malpighiales; Euphorbiaceae
Source: RNAcentral
GUUGAGAGCCAGUCCAAGUCGGAUUGGAUGUGUUGGGGCAAGUUCAGUAUUUGCAAUAUCCUGAGCAGCUUUGUAGGCGGAGAGUGUGCUCUCAGCAGCUUCCUUACGUUCAGCUCCGGUCUUAAAUUCAGCCAAAUAACGAUGAUAAUCACCCUUCAUUUUAAGGUAAAACACCUUAGAAUCGCCAUUAGAAGCUGAAGGAAUGAGAUUAGAAUCAAGGAGCUUGAGAAUUCCAUCACAAAUAUCCGAAAGUUCAGAUUCAAUCUUAGAUCUAUACUCCUUUAUACAUUUAACAUGUUCCUCAUUUCCCCUCGACUCCUCCUUCUGUUCAAUUGAAGAGAUAAUACGCCACGAGGCUCUACGAGCCCCGAUAACGUUUUUGUAAGCAACGGAAAGAAGAUUCCGUUCCUCAACAGUAAGUUCCUCUGAGCCUAAUGAAGUUGAAACUUUCUCCAUGAACUGCACCAUUUCUUCGUAUCUUUCAGCUUGCUCAGCAAGCUUCGC